CGGUGGAGCAUGUGGUUAAUUCGAAGCAACGCGAAGAACCUUACCAGGUCUUGACAUCCCGAUGCUAUUUCUAGAGAUAGAAAGUUACUUCGGUACAUCGGUGACAGGUGGUGCAUGGUUGUCGUCAGCUCGUGUCGUGAGAUGUUGGGUUAAGUCCCGCAACGAGCGCAACCCCUAUUGUUAGUUGCCAUCAUUCAGUUGGGCACUCUAGCGAGACUGCCGGUAAUAAACCGGAGGAAGGUGGGAUGACGUCAAAUCAUCAUGCCCCUUAUGACCUGGGCUACACACGUGCUACAAUGGUUGGUACAACGAGUUGCGAGUCGGUGACGGCGAGCUAAUCUCUUAAAGCCAAUCUCAGUUCGGAUUGUAGGCUGCAACUCGCCUACAUGAAGUCGGAAUCGCUAGUAAUCGCGGAUCAGCACGCCGCGGUGAAUACGUUCCCGGGCCUU
This 449-nucleotide ribosomal RNA is filed under the name uncultured Streptococcus sp. Its description in RNAcentral is "bacterial SSU rRNA". It matches the Rfam family "Bacterial small subunit ribosomal RNA", at positions 930 to 1382 of the family's 1533-position model. The record is from RNAcentral. Lineage: Bacteria; Bacillati; Bacillota; Bacilli; Lactobacillales; Streptococcaceae.